Molecule: transfer RNA, 71 nt
Filed under: Marmota monax (woodchuck)
Lineage: Eukaryota; Metazoa; Chordata; Mammalia; Rodentia; Sciuridae
Description: tRNA.Ala
Rfam family: tRNA (bases 6-66)
About the family: Transfer RNA (tRNA) molecules are approximately 80 nucleotides in length. Their secondary structure includes four short double-helical elements and three loops (D, anti-codon, and T loops).
Source: RNAcentral
GAGAUUGUGGCUCACUGGUAGAGCACUCGCCUAGCAUGUGUGGGGACCUGGGUUCGAUCCUCAGCACCACA